Molecule: ribosomal RNA, 845 nt
Filed under: uncultured bacterium
Lineage: Bacteria
Description: bacterial SSU rRNA
Rfam family: Bacterial small subunit ribosomal RNA
Source: RNAcentral
GCUGGCGGUGCGCCUUAUGCAUGCAAGUCGAGCGAAGCUUUUCAGUAGUUUACUACAGAAAAUGACUGAGCGGCGAACGGGUGAGUAACGCGUGAGCAAUCUACCUUAGUUACAGGGAUAGCCCGAGGAAACUCGGAUUAAUACCUGAUAUUCUUUACAUUUCGCAUGAAAUCAAAAGGAAAGGUCAGCCGAACUAAGAUGAGCUCGCGUUCUAUCAGCUAGUUGGUGAGGUAAAAGCUCACCAAGGCAACGACGGAUAGCUGGUCUGAGAGGACGAUCAGCCACACUGGGACUGAGACACGGCCCAGACUCCUACGGGAGGCUGCAGCAGGGAAUAUUGCGCAAUGAGCGAAAGCUUGACGCAGCGACACCGCGUGUGGGAUGACGGAUCUAGGUUUGUAAACCACUUUCAGGAGGGAAGAAAAUGACGGUACCUCCACAAGAAGCCCCGGCCAACUACGUGCCAGCAGCCGCGGUAAUACGUAGGGGGCGAGCGUUGUCCGGAUUUAUUGGGCGUAAAGAGCUCGUAGGCGGUUCAACAAGUCGGUCGUAAAAGUUCAGGGCUCAACCCUGAAAUGUCGAUCGAUACUGUUGUGACUAGGAUACGGUAGAGGUGAGUGGAAUUCCGAGUGUAGCGGUGAAAUGCGUAGAUAUUCGGAGGAACACCAAUUGCGAAGGCAGCUCACUGGGCCGCUAUCGACGCUGAGGAGCGAAAGCUAGGGGAGCAAACAGGAUUAGAUACCCUGGUAGUCCUAGCUGUAAACGAUGGAUACUAGACGUAGGAACUGGAUUGACGGUUUCUGUGUCGUAGCUAACGCGUUAAGUAUCCCGCCUGGGGAGUACGG